RNAcentral lists this ribosomal RNA (510 nucleotides) under uncultured bacterium. Its description in RNAcentral is "partial 16S ribosomal RNA". It matches the Rfam family "Bacterial small subunit ribosomal RNA", at positions 28 to 507 of the family's 1533-position model. The record is from RNAcentral.
GACGAACGCUGGCGGCGUGCUUAACACAUGCAAGUCGAACGAAGAGCGAUGGAAGCUUGCUUCUAUCAAUCUUAGUGGCGAACGGGUGAGUAACGCGUAAUCAACCUGCCCUUCAGAGGGGGACAACAGUUGGAAACGACUGCUAAUACCGCAUACGAUCUAAUCUCGGCAUCGAGGAUAGAUGAAAGGUGGCCUCUACAUGUAAGCUAUCACUGAAGGAGGGGAUUGCGUCUGAUUAGCUAGUUGGAGGGGUAACGGCCCACCAAGGCGAUGAUCAGUAGCCGGUCUGAGAGGAUGAACGGCCACAUUGGGACUGAGACACGGCCCAGACUCCUACGGGAGGCAGCAGUGGGGAAUCUUCCGCGAUGGACGAAAGUCUGACGGAGCAACGCCGCGUGAGCGAUGACGGCCUUCGGGUUGUAAAGCUCUGUUAAUCGGGACGAAAGGCCUUCUUGCGAAUAGUGAGAAGGAUUGACGGUACCGGAAUAGAAAGCCACGGCUAACUACGUG